UACCUCAAAUCAGGCAGGAAUACCCGCUGAACUUAA
Molecule: ribosomal RNA, 36 nt
Filed under: uncultured Archaeospora
Lineage: Eukaryota; Fungi; Glomeromycota; Glomeromycetes; Archaeosporales; Archaeosporaceae
Description: partial 28S ribosomal RNA
Source: RNAcentral